UCAGCAGUCAAGAAUAUUAGUCAAUGCUCGCAAGAGUGAACUAGCUAACUGAAAUCCUUGGUGUGUCAUCGAGGAUAACGUAAGGGAAAAUAAUGAUACCACCUUACUAUUAGUGUCGUCCAAAUGCUCGUGCCAGAAGACUCGGUAAGGCGAGAGACGCAAACGUUAUUCGUCUUGAUCAGGCGUAAAGGGUUUGUAGGCGGCUUUAAGUAUCCAAUUUUAAGUUUACUAUUAUAAUGCUAUAAGUGUUAUAAUAUUUAUUAAAGGGUCAAUUAAAGCUAGAAUCUAACAGAGGUUAAAACAAUACUUAAGGUAGGUGUACUAACCAUAAAUAAUAAGCAGAGUGUUAAGGGCGAAGGCAUUUAUCCACUGAAGAUUGACGCUGAGAAACGAAGGUGAGGACAGAAAAAAGGAUUAGAGACCCUUGUAUCCCUCACUGUCAACGAUGAAUGGUAGUUACUAGGGAGAAAUAACCUAGAGACGAUGUUAACACGAAAACCAUUCCGCCUUGUGAGUACGACUGCAAAGUUGAAAACAAAAAAAUUAGUCGGUUUCGGAGCAAACGAAGUGAAGCAUGUUAUUUAAUUCGAUAAUCCGC
Molecule: ribosomal RNA, 598 nt
Filed under: Porodaedalea pini
Lineage: Eukaryota; Fungi; Basidiomycota; Agaricomycetes; Hymenochaetales; Hymenochaetaceae
Description: SSU rRNA
Rfam family: Bacterial small subunit ribosomal RNA
Source: RNAcentral